CCCUUCGGGGAGCUCGGAGACAGGUGCUGCAUGGCUGCCGUCAGCUCGUGCCGUGAGGUGUUGGGUUAAGUCCCGCAACGAGCGCAACCCCCGCCGUUAGUUGCCAGCGGUUCGGCCGGGCACUCUAACGGGACUGCCACGUAAGGUGAGAGGAAGGUGGGGAUGACGUCAAAUCAGCAGGCCCUUAUGUCCAGGGCUACACACGUGUUACAAUGGCCAGUACAAAGGGCAGCUACCGGGUGACCGGAUGCUAAUCUCUAAAGCUGGUCUCAGUUCGGAUCGAAGUCUGCAACCCGACUUCGUGAAGCUGGAUUCGCUAGUAAUCGCGCAUCAGCCAUGGCGCGGUGAAUACGUUCCCGGGCCUU
This 365-nucleotide ribosomal RNA is filed under the name uncultured Sphingobacteriales bacterium. Its description in RNAcentral is "bacterial SSU rRNA". It matches the Rfam family "Bacterial small subunit ribosomal RNA", at positions 1016 to 1382 of the family's 1533-position model. The record is from RNAcentral. Lineage: Bacteria; Pseudomonadati; Bacteroidota; Sphingobacteriia; Sphingobacteriales.